UACGCAGGCGGCUUGUCAAGUCGGGUGUGAAAUCCCGGAGCUCAACUCCGGAACUGCGCCCGAAACUGGCAGGCUUGAAUACGGGAGAGGAAAGCGGAAUUCCUGGUGUAGAGGUGAAAUUCGUAGAUAUCAGGAGGAACACCAGUGGCGAAAGCGGCUUUCUGGCCCGAUAUUGACGCUCAUGUACGAAAGCGUGGGUAGCAAACA
This 207-nucleotide ribosomal RNA is filed under the name uncultured bacterium. Its description in RNAcentral is "partial 16S ribosomal RNA". It matches the Rfam family "Bacterial small subunit ribosomal RNA", at positions 568 to 774 of the family's 1533-position model. The record is from RNAcentral.